AGUAGGACGCACAGUUUAUACCGUAGCUUGCUACACCAUAGACUGUGAGUUGCGAACGGGUGAGUAACGCGUAGGUAACCUACCUAUUAGAGGGGGAUAACUAUUGGAAACGAUAGCUAAUACCGCAUAACAGUAUGUAACACAUGUUAGAUGCUUGAAAGAUGCAAUUGCAUCGCUAGUAGAUGGACCUGCGUUGUAUUAGCUAGUAGGUAGGGUAAUGGCCUACCUAGGCAACGAUACAUAGCCGACCUGAGAGGGUGAUCGGCCACACUGGGACUGAGACACGGCCCAGACUCCUACGGGAGGCAGCAGUAGGGAAUCUUCGGCAAUGGGGGGAACCCUGACCGAGCAACGCCGCGUGAGUGAAGAAGGUUUUCGGAUCGUAAAGCUCUGUUGUUAAGGAAGAACGAGUGUGAGAAUGGAAAGUUCAUGCUGUGACGGUACUUAACCAGAAAGGGACGGCUAACUACGUGCCAGCAGCCGCGGUAAUACGUAGGUCCCGAGCGUUGUCCGGAUUUAUUGGGCGUAAAGCGAGCGCAGGCGGUUAGAAAAGUCUGAAGUGAAAGGCAGUGGCUCAACCAUUGUAGGCUUUGGAAACUGUUUAACUUGAGUGCAGAAGGGGAGAGUGGAAUUCCAUGUGUAGCGGUGAAAUGCGUAGAUAUAUGGAGGAACACCGGUGGCGAAAGCGGCUCUCUGGUCUGUAACCGACGCUGAGGCUCGAAAGCGUGGG
This 730-nucleotide ribosomal RNA is filed under the name uncultured bacterium. RNAcentral's name for it is "bacterial SSU rRNA". It matches the Rfam family "Bacterial small subunit ribosomal RNA", at positions 60 to 765 of the family's 1533-position model. The record is from RNAcentral.